GUUUUGGCUGAUGAGGCUUUCCUGUCCGUCCGUAUUAGGGUCCGUUCGGGUAAACCAGGGUUUUUGUUAUAAAUAUAUAUGGCUAAGACCACCUGAGAUCUCAAAAUCACGCGUUACUUUGUAAAAGGCCUGAGCUCAACCCUGUUCGCGCACGUUUGAAAAAAAAAGCAAACGGAAUGGAUUCGAUACGAUGAAUGAUAGAAAUUAUUUAAAAAGGACACUCGUC
Long non-coding RNA from Lucilia cuprina (Australian sheep blowfly), 226 nucleotides. RefSeq lists it as uncharacterized. The record is from RefSeq and is a predicted model, not a curated record. NCBI's taxonomy places the organism in Eukaryota, Metazoa, Arthropoda, Insecta, Diptera, Calliphoridae. The transcript is spliced from 3 exons.